AAAACCCCUUUUUUUUUUACUUGAUAUUUAUUUUGUGUGUGUUUUAGUUUUAAGCAGUCUUCCUUUUCAUAUUUUUUCAUUUUGACAUAUUAAACACUAAUCCUAAUACGCAUAUUUAACAAAUACGAUAUUAACAUGUUUUAUUAUUCUUUAUAUUAUGCUAAUAAGCCCAUUUUAAUAUGGUAAUUUUUUUACACAAAAUAAUGUUUUCUGCUGAAAUCAGCGAAAAUCGGCACUUAUAAUAAAGUUGCACAACAUACUCGGUUCAAGGUAGAUAUUAAAGCGAGGCUGACAGCAAAGAGAAAUAGAAGAGUAAAGGAAAAAUAUAACUUUUUUUUAAAUGUAGACUAAAAAUAUAACUUUUUUUUAAAUGUAGGCGAUUACAUACAGUAUGGCCUAAAUCCUGUUUUUUUAUUAUUUUAUUUUUUUUUUCGUUUCGGUGCUGGGGCUUCAAGCACCACGUCCAGAUUUCAUAGGCUCAAGCCUAUGAAAACGAAUUUUCACAAGCAAGUGAUGCAAUAUUAAUCACGGUUUCCUGCUAUAAAAUGCAAUACUUUCAGUUAGCUGUCGGGGCUUUCGUGGGAAGGACGCGGAUGAAGGAGUCAGCGGGGAAAUGUGCCCACUGUAUGGUCACAUGGACACAAGAAACGAGCAGCUAAUCGACUUUCCUCAUCAUCACAGGCGACCGGCAGUAACACAGCACCUCUGGCACUGAACCCACUCCACCAGCAGCACGGCACGCGCCACAUGGUGCAUCAUUUCAGCACCACGAACAGCUCCGCUGGCGCACUGAAGAAUGAUGCAUUAUUGAAAGCCUAUAUCAAACAGCUCUGGGGUGCUGUCUUUCUGAGCAGGGGCUCUGGAUGAAGUCGGACUGUCUGCCUGCACAAUGGCCUCUAAUAUGUUAAUGGCCGUAGGGGAUGCCUGAGGUAUCGUCCCCAGCUGCUUCGCCUACCGUAUGUCAGACCGCUGUGACAGAGUCCUCUAUUAAUCAGGGGCAUAUUUCAUCGGUAACUCCGCCGAUAUCAUAACCCUUAAAGCUCCAUCAAUAGCAGGCCGGCCUGACGCCUGAUCCUUAGUGCUGCGCAUCAGGAGGCCUUCCUUCUAUUGCGCUUCCGGAACGUUCUGGAGAGCCCAAAACUUGCCCCAUCCGGUUAGUCUGCCGAUUGAGUAUUAAUAAAUAAAAACACACACACAUAUAUAUUUUUUAUAUAAACCAAUCAUCUCUAAAGUGUUGAAUGCGCGCGCAGGCCAUUAUGGAUUAUUCAUGCCUUUCAAAGGAUCCCUUAACUUAAUUCCUUCAGGCUUUCAGUCGGGGGAAUAAUUAAUCUAUACCAUGAAUGUAAAUAAAAGGAAAUUGGAUUCCUGACAGACGAAAUAAGAGAGUUUUCGACACCACCACGACAAAAGUAAUGAUUUCACCACACCUUAUGGUAACACGGGAACUGAGAUUUACGAGCGACUUGUUUUACAACACAGCCCUGAGCGGCUGAGAGCGAGUCUGUCCUAAUCGUAGCUGUUAGGUGCUGAUUUUAAGAUGAAUGAGACUGUAACAAUGUGCUCACAACAUGAUGCAAAUAAGUAAAAAAAAGGAGAGCUCCGAGUCUGACUUUAUUUGAAUUGGACGUUCUCUUAUAAUUAUAUUUUGGAGGAGCACAUCUGAAAAAAUAAAACAAGAAUAAAAGUGUGAAGGGAAAAAAAGCCCCCACAAAGGGCUCCGUUGAUAAACCAAUGCGCAGAAAGGUUGGCCUUUUGGACGGAAAUGUCAAACCAAGGAUGUGGAUUGGAAGAUCCCCCCACAUCUGCACUCAUUUCCCACUUAUAUUUGCUCGGUAAUCCGCUGUGGAAGCCCUCUAUCGCCGGGGAGCAGGUUUGAGAGGCAAUGCUGUUGACACAGGGGUAUAUUUCAAUCACAGAGGGUUCAGAGUCAGGCGCACAACUUAUUUGUCUAAUAAAUCCGUCAUUUAGUUAGAAAAAUAUUUGAUCUUGAGGGGCUGACCUCUUUGUCAUGUAGCCACUGACAAAUAAAAACGGGUAUGGUUGCUUCAGAAAAUGGGCAGGGUGUAUCCUGAAUAAAAACAUUAGAUUCAUAUUCAUUUGAGAAUAUGGAUGAGCAGAAGUCUGGAAGCAGGGAUCUUCUUGUUAUAUCUUUUCAGAUGGAAGAAAAGAACAUUUUUAUUCAAGUUUAAGGAGAACAAAUCCCUUUGGCCCAUUUUUAAGCACGGCUAAUAAAAUAUUAAUUGUAUACAAUUAAUAUUUUAUUAAUCAAAUGCCUGUUAAUUCUAUAGAAUGAGCAGGCAUUUGAUUAGAUAGUCAAUGCUUGUGCCACUUGCAGCCUAAAGACUGUCAUUAACCUGCAAGAGAAUGUUUGCAACUUUUAUUAUUACAUUUUAAUAUCCCACUAAUAACAGUUUAAAAUUGAAUGCUUGUUUAAGUUUUACAAACUGAUUUUACUCUUCAGUACAACAAUAUUCAAUUUCAUUUACACAUUCCAACAAUAAGGUGUUUAUCAAUUUAUGAAGCUUAAUUUUCUUUCUUAAAAAUGACACAAACUAAAGAACUUAAGCAAAAUAUUCAUGUAUAUUAUAUCUAUAAUUGAUUUGAUUUGGUUUGAAAUGGUUUAUUUAAAGCAAUCAAAUAAGAAUAAUACACAACACAUA
RNAcentral lists this long non-coding RNA (2660 nucleotides) under Oryzias sinensis (Chinese medaka). RNAcentral describes it as "lncRNA (ENSOSIG00000015719.1)". The record is from RNAcentral. Lineage: Eukaryota; Metazoa; Chordata; Actinopteri; Beloniformes; Adrianichthyidae.